ACACCAAAUAAAAACAAACACACUAAAUGAACUUAAGUAUUUUGAGUUUGUUUCAAUUCCCACUGGUGCUUUAUCAAGUCAAUUUGCUGGGCAUUGUGCAUAUAUGGCCUUUGAAGUGCAGUAUAUCAUUGAAUGAGCCUUUCAUUGUAACGUCCAUCCUUUUCUAAUGGCUCGUGUUGCACGGGCUCUUCGGUGGCGUCAUGAGCACAAUAUAUUUAUGUUUUGGAAUUGUUCAUCGUGUCUGGCUCAUAUUCAUCAACGGCAUCAUAAUCAUACUCAUCUUCCACAAUCAUGUUGUGA
RNAcentral lists this long non-coding RNA (300 nucleotides) under Malus domestica (apple). RNAcentral describes it as "long non-coding RNA (MDOM_LNC018513)". The record is from RNAcentral. Lineage: Eukaryota; Viridiplantae; Streptophyta; Magnoliopsida; Rosales; Rosaceae.